RNAcentral lists this signal recognition particle RNA (99 nucleotides) under Clostridia bacterium. RNAcentral describes it as "signal recognition particle sRNA small type". It matches the Rfam family "Bacterial small signal recognition particle RNA". Rfam says of the family: The signal recognition particle (SRP) is a universally conserved ribonucleoprotein involved in the co-translational targeting of proteins to membranes. Archaeal SRP consists of a 7S RNA and homologues of the eukaryotic SRP19 and SRP54 proteins. In most bacteria, the SRP consists of a 4.5S RNA and the Ffh protein (a homologue of the eukaryotic SRP54 protein). Lineage: Bacteria; Bacillati; Bacillota; Clostridia. The record is from RNAcentral.
GGAUCGGUCCUGUGUGACGGGCCGCCGUGAACCAUGUCAGGCGGGGAACCGAGCAGCAUUAAGCGACCGGCUCCGUGCGCCGCAGGUAACCGGUCUGUC